This 484-nucleotide small RNA is filed under the name Pan troglodytes (chimpanzee). RNAcentral describes it as "retained intron". The record is from RNAcentral. Lineage: Eukaryota; Metazoa; Chordata; Mammalia; Primates; Hominidae.
AGUGACUAUGAGCCAGAAAGUAUGGCUGGUUUUUUUUUCUCUGCAACUUCUGCUGUAUAGUAACUUCAUCUCUUACAUUUGUUAGGCAAACCUGUAUGUGGGACUGGUGGUCAUGUGUGGCUUCGUCCUUUUUGAUACUCAACUCAUUAUUGAAAAGGCCGAACAUGGAGAUCAAGAUUAUAUCUGGCACUGCAUUGAUCUCUUCUUAGAUUUCAUUACUCUCUUCAGAAAACUCAUGAUGAUCCUGGCCAUGAAUGAAAAGGAUAAGAAGAAAGAGAAGAAAUGAAGUGACCAUCCAGCCUUUCCCAAUUUGACUUCCUCUCCUUCCACCCCUCAUUUCCUUUUUGCACACAUUACAGGUGGUGUGUUCUGUGAUAAUGAAAAGCAUCAGAAAAGCUUUUGUACUUUGUGGUUUCCUCUAUUUUGAAUUUUUUGAUCAAAAAACUGAUUAGCAGAAUAUAGUUUGGAGUUUGGCUUCAUCUUC